This 721-nucleotide long non-coding RNA is filed under the name Homo sapiens (human). RNAcentral's name for it is "HSALNT0264463". Lineage: Eukaryota; Metazoa; Chordata; Mammalia; Primates; Hominidae. The record is from RNAcentral.
AAGAAAUUUAGGUUUCACUCUGGAGAAAAAUCUGAGAAUGGUUCUAGGAGCUUUUCACCAUUGAGUCUCUAGGUUUGCCAAACAGAAGCUAUGGGGUCCUCUUCUCUUGUACUAACAAGCUAGACCCCAAGCAGUGAAACUGCUGCUAUAGAACAAAGGAGAUCUCCAAACCCAUUCUGUUCUAAAUCCAUAAUCCUGAUGGCUGAAGGCACCGAAGCUAGAAGCAGUGUCUUGUGGCUUAAACUUCAGGCGCUUGUCCCUGGACCCAGGACGCUUCCAGCAACGCUGCCGGCUUGCCGAGGCUCAUGGCAAUCAGAUCCUCUUUCUGAAUCUGAGUUUUCUCACCUAUAAAAACCCAGCUAAAAAUCUGCUAGAAUUCAGCAAUAGGUCCCCAGGAAAAUGACUGCUUUGAAAAUGUUUGGCUGAAAUCAGAUACUACUUCUCACCUACUACAAUGGCUAAAGCAAACAAGACUAGCAAUACCAAUACUGUAAUUGGAGGAGAUGUGGAGCAGCUGGAACUCUCAAAUACUGCUGUGAUGGAAUGAUAAAUGGUGCAAACCUUUUGCUAAAUUGUUUGGCAGUUCCCAAUAAUGUUAAAUUCGUUCACCUACCCUAUGACCCAUCAAUUUCACUCCCAGGUAUUUAUCCAAGAGAACUGAAAAGAUACAUCCAUCCAGAUAAAUCUAAAAGAAUAUUCAUUGCAACUUUACUCAUAAGAG